GGAGGCGUGCCUGAGUGGUUGAAAGGAACAGUCUUGAAAACUGUCAGGGGUGAAAGCUCCUCGUGAGUUCGAAUCUCACCGCCUCCG
Molecule: transfer RNA, 87 nt
Filed under: Patescibacteria group bacterium
Lineage: Bacteria
Also listed under: 1 other name
Description: tRNA-Ser
Rfam family: tRNA
About the family: Transfer RNA (tRNA) molecules are approximately 80 nucleotides in length. Their secondary structure includes four short double-helical elements and three loops (D, anti-codon, and T loops).
Source: RNAcentral